Salvelinus namaycush (lake trout) is the source of this 2039-nucleotide long non-coding RNA. RefSeq lists it as uncharacterized. The transcript is spliced from 4 exons. The record is from RefSeq and is a predicted model, not a curated record. NCBI's taxonomy places the organism in Eukaryota, Metazoa, Chordata, Actinopteri, Salmoniformes, Salmonidae.
CAUGUUUUCUACUUGUUCCGAUUGGUAGGCAAGGGUGGGGUUCAAAACCUAACAUUCUGGAAUGGAUCCUACCAAACAUGUCUGUGUUUGUUAGAGAGCACACUAUUCUAAAGUCAGGUGUGGAGAGGAUGGAGACAGCCAGCUCUCAUAGGCAGGGAGUAGAGAUGGUCAGCCCCUCUGAACAAUCCCAGCGUGGUGAUUGGCUGCAGGCCCAGAGAGCGAGGAGUGCUGGUUGGCUGCCCGGCGGGGGAUGAGUGAACAGGGCAAACGGCAGCAGGACUAAGCGUGGUGGAGUGAGGGUGAGUGCUGGAGCCACACUUUAAGCGUUCACCUCUAUAUUUUCUAGGGAAAGAAGAAGAAGCGGAAGAGGGAGAAGAUCCAGGAACCGGCUGCAGACCCCCAUAGAACUCCAUUCGACCCCUCCGCCCUCACUAGAGUGGGCUUUCAGAACCACCAUGCAGGUACAGGCCAGAGAAUGAAAACGGCGUACAUCUGAGCAGAAAUGGAGGAAAACGGAACGCUUUCUCCACGUCGUGCAAAGCGAAGGCAGCAGCUAUGGCCCCUCUGUUAGAGAUGGAGGCCUGCUAGAUUCCAUGAACCCUCCUCCACCUUAUCUCCGACCCCCAAGCCUCAACUCCCGUUCUCAGAGGAAUACACCCCCCGAACUUGACUUUAUACUCCUCUCCUGCAGUGACUCUCCUAUCUGCUGUAGAAACUCUGAACUGAACAAGACAAUCACUACUAAAGACCAUCAUCCAACCGCAUGCAACUCCCCAGCCCCCUCACUCACCAGCCCCCUCACGCCUUUUUUUCUCCUUACAAGCAGCUCUAUCUCAAUCCAAGGCACUGCACUGAAAACAGUUCAGCGAUUUCACUUUGUCAAACACAAUUAACACCUCCCCACACAUACCCCAACACCUGUUUCUAAGUUAUUCCUAAGUUAUUUGCCACCUCCGUUCCUUUCCUUUGUACAGCCCACUAUGUUCGACCCUCAACACUCCCCUGUCCCCUCUCUCACUGGAUUUCAGACCACGUGUUUGGGUUGCGGCCUGACCUCUUUAGACUGACUGCACUAUCACAAGGAAGAUGGAGGGAUGUCAAUCACAUGUUGUCAAGGAAACAUCCUCUCAAGGCUCCUAUCCUCCAUUUUGUUUUUAUUAACGGCCAGUUGGUGCAAAAAAUAUCAACGUUUUAUGAUUAUAGCUUUUACCUUUGAGUUGGAAUUAAUUGAAUGCUUUUUUGUAUUUUGAACUUGGUUUAAAUUUCUCGGUGUAUAUUUUCAGUGAAUUUUUUGUUUUGUUCUUUUUUUAGAAUAUAUAUACUGGUAUAUAUGAAAAUAAGCUUUGAACACAGGAAAGCCAUUUGUUUUCUUGUUAAAGCGUCUUGCAGAAAAAUGAAAAUUAAGGCUUCUUUUGAUACUAUUUGUAACAAAUAGUGACCUUGACUCGAGUCUUGCUCAGAUGUAAAAUAAAGCUCAGUAUGUGUACUUUUUAAAGAAACUGUCAGGAUAUGUCACUUUUCUUGGUAUUUUUGCAGGCAACGUUAGGACAAAGGCAAGUGGUUGCUCAGAGGCCUAUAUUUUAUUGUUCUAAACUGACAAAUGAAGCAGAUAUAUAUUUACCCCAGCACUUGGCAGUGUUCGUUUUAUUGCGAUCAGGGUUGGGGUCAAUUCCAGUAAAUUCAGAAAGUUAACCAAAUUCCAUUUGCAAUUCGACAUUUUCCUCAUUGGAAAGCAUUGAAGAGAAGUUGGAGUUGGAAUUUCAGUGUACUUCCUGAAUUGACACCAAGCUUGAUUGCGAUGGACUUUUCUCUUCUCUAUCUGGUAACUGUGGUCUUUUUGCCCAUGUUGUUUAUUUCAUGCAUUUCUGUAACAUUUUAUUGAUUUUAUGCUCUAUUUUUAGUAUUACUUGACGCAUUUUUUUUAUUCAUUGUCGUAUUUUGAAUCACUGUCAUCUUGGUAUAAGCACUUUGCUUCCCAAGUGGUCACAUUUUAACACUUUCAACAUGUUUUGUUUUUUUAAAGAAAAAUAAAAAGGCAU